This is a long non-coding RNA of Setaria italica (foxtail millet), 449 nucleotides long. RefSeq lists it as uncharacterized. The record is from RefSeq and is a predicted model, not a curated record. The transcript is spliced from 2 exons. NCBI's taxonomy places the organism in Eukaryota, Viridiplantae, Streptophyta, Magnoliopsida, Poales, Poaceae.
GCGCCGGAGCCAGCAGCUGGAGGAGCGCGAAGUCGGAGACGCGGGCGUUGCCGCUGCCGUCGACGAGGAUGUUCGAGGAGGUGAGGUGCCGAUGGGAGAGGUUGCCGCCGGACACGCCGUGGAGGUAGGCCAGCCCGUGCGCCGCGUCCUGCGCCAGCUUCAGCCGGGUCUGCCAGUCCAGAGGAACUCUUGCGGGUCCUCGGUUCUCUGUACAAAAAGAGACCAAAUUUUGUGCACAGGAAGCUGAGGACAGAACCAUCUACCUGAUUACGGGCACGAGCAACCUCCUCUUCUGACACAUGGAAUGCAAGUCUUCUAAGCUCCGCCAUUAUUAACCGUGACAAGUCAUGCAGGGUAUCAGGCUGUAAUACAAUUUUGCAAAUUGUAAGAGAACAUUGUAACAAGCAAUAUUUCCAUCCAAUCCAUAUUAUUUGUUCAGUUGUUGUAUA